GUGUCAGCAGCCGCGGUAAAACGUAGGAGCCUAGCGUUAUCCGAAUUUACUGGGCGUAAAGCGCGUGCAGGCGGCUUCGUAAGUGGAUUGUGAAAUCUCCCGGCUCAACUGGGAGGGGACGGUCCAGACUGCGAGGCUGGAGGCAGGGAGAGGGAGGUGGAAUUCCCGGUGUAGUGGUGAAAUGCGUAGAGAUCGGGAGGAACACCAGUGGCGAAAGCGGCCUCCUGGCCCUGACCUGACGCUGAGACGCGAAAGCUAGGGGAGCGAACGGGAUUAGAUACCCCAGUAGUCC
This 292-nucleotide ribosomal RNA is filed under the name uncultured bacterium. Its description in RNAcentral is "partial 16S ribosomal RNA". It matches the Rfam family "Bacterial small subunit ribosomal RNA", at positions 505 to 796 of the family's 1533-position model. The record is from RNAcentral.